RNAcentral lists this ribosomal RNA (791 nucleotides) under uncultured archaeon. Its description in RNAcentral is "bacterial SSU rRNA". It matches the Rfam family "Archaeal small subunit ribosomal RNA", at positions 25 to 835 of the family's 1478-position model. The record is from RNAcentral.
GGCGGUUAUCGAUUGAUCUAUGCCAUGCGAGUCAUUGUAGUAAUACAAGGCAGACGGCUCAGUAACGCGUCCUCUUAAAACCUAUGGACGGGAAUAACCUCGGGAAACUGAGCCUUUUGCCCGAUAGAACAUUAUGCCUGGAAUGGUUUGUGUUCCAAAUGAUUCAUCGCCGUAGGAUGGGACUGCCCCCUAUCAGCUUGUUGGUGAGGUAAUGGCCCACCAAGACUAUUACAGAUACGGGCUCUGAGAGGAGAGGCCCGGAGAUGGGUACUGAGACACGGACCCAGGUCCUAUGGGGCGCAGCAGGCGAGAUAACUUUGCAAUGUGCGAAAGCACGACAAGGUUAAUCCGAGUGUUUUCUGCGUAAGAAUCUUUUUGUCGUCUUAAAACCACCGAGAAUAAGGGGUGUUUUUUUUUUGGUGACACCCGCCGCGGUAAAACCCGCCCCUCAAGUGGUCCGAAUUAUUAUUGGGCCAAAGCAUCCGGAGCCGGCGUGUUAUUUUUCGGUUUAACCUGGCCCUCCACGCAAAGGGUGGCGGGAUACUGGGCAGGUAUGGAGGGGGAAAAGUUGACGGUACUCGGUUGGAAGGGGAAAAAUCCUUUUAUUUUAUGAAGAACCCCUGUGGGGAAAGCGGCCCAAACGAACCCUCCCGAAGAUGAGGGAAGAAAGGUGGGGGAAUAAACCGGAUUAUAACCCGGGGAGCCCCGCUGGAAACAUUGUCAAACCCGUGGGGGCUUGGUUUGGGCCAAUGUCAUGUUUCAAGGAAACCCUCAAGUUUGCCCCUGGGAAG